UACGUAGGGUGCGAGCGUUAAUCGGAAUUACUGGGCGUAAAGCGUGCGCAGGCGGCUUUGCAAGACAGAUGUGAAAUCCCCGGGCUCAACCUGGGAACUGCAUCCAAAACUGCUGAGCUAGAGUACGGCAGAGGGGGAUGGAAUUCCGCGUGUAGCAGUGAAAUGCGUAGAUAUGCGGAGGAACACCAAUGGCGAAGGCAAUCCCCUGGGCCUGUACUGACGCUCAUGCACGAAAGCGUGGGGAGCAAACAGG
RNAcentral lists this ribosomal RNA (253 nucleotides) under uncultured bacterium. RNAcentral's name for it is "partial 16S ribosomal RNA". It matches the Rfam family "Bacterial small subunit ribosomal RNA", at positions 524 to 776 of the family's 1533-position model. The record is from RNAcentral.